RNAcentral lists this non-coding RNA (21 nucleotides) under Caenorhabditis elegans. The record is from RNAcentral. Lineage: Eukaryota; Metazoa; Nematoda; Chromadorea; Rhabditida; Rhabditidae.
UCUGAAUUCUGGAUUCCUAAA